This 1132-nucleotide ribosomal RNA is filed under the name Vibrio parahaemolyticus. Its description in RNAcentral is "bacterial SSU rRNA". It matches the Rfam family "Bacterial small subunit ribosomal RNA", at positions 8 to 1119 of the family's 1533-position model. Lineage: Bacteria; Pseudomonadati; Pseudomonadota; Gammaproteobacteria; Vibrionales; Vibrionaceae. The record is from RNAcentral.
AGAGUUUGAUCAUGGCUCAGAUUGAACGCUGGCGGCAGGCCUAACACAUGCAAGUCGAGCGGAAACGAGUUAUCAGAACCUUCGGGGAACGAUAACGGCGUCGAGCGGCGGACGGGUGAGUAAUGCCUAGGAAAUUGCCCUGAUGUGGGGGAUAACCAUUGGAAACGAUGGCUAAUACCGCAUGAUGCCUACGGGCCAAAGAGGGGGACCUUCGGGCCUCUCGCGUCAGGAUAUGCCUAGGUGGGAUUAGCUAGUUGGUGAGGUAAGGGCUCACCAAGGCGACGAUCCCUAGCUGGUCUGAGAGGAUGAUCAGCCACACUGGAACUGAGACACGGUCCAGACUCCUACGGGAGGCAGCAGUGGGGAAUAUUGCACAAUGGGCGCAAGCCUGAUGCAGCCAUGCCGCGUGUGUGAAGAAGGCCUUCGGGUUGUAAAGCACUUUCAGUCGUGAGGAAGGUAGUGUAGUUAAUAGCUGCAUUAUUUGACGUUAGCGACAGAAGAAGCACCGGCUAACUCCGUGCCAGCAGCCGCGGUAAUACGGAGGGUGCGAGCGUUAAUCGGAAUUACUGGGCGUAAAGCGCAUGCAGGUGGUUUGUUAAGUCAGAUGUGAAAGCCCGGGGCUCAACCUCGGAAUUGCAUUUGAAACUGGCAGACUAGAGUACUGUAGAGGGGGGUAGAAUUUCAGGUGUAGCGGUGAAAUGCGUAGAGAUCUGAAGGAAUACCGGUGGCGAAGGCGGCCCCCUGGACAGAUACUGACACUCAGAUGCGAAAGCGUGGGGAGCAAACAGGAUUAGAUACCCUGGUAGUCCACGCCGUAAACGAUGUCUACUUGGAGGUUGUGGCCUUGAGCCGUGGCUUUCGGAGCUAACGCGUUAAGUAGACCGCCUGGGGAGUACGGUCGCAAGAUUAAAACUCAAAUGAAUUGACGGGGGCCCGCACAAGCGGUGGAGCAUGUGGUUUAAUUCGAUGCAACGCGAAGAACCUUACCUACUCUUGACAUCCAGAGAACUUUCCAGAGAUGGAUUGGUGCCUUCGGGAACUCUGAGACAGGUGCUGCAUGGCUGUCGUCAGCUCGUGUUGUGAAAUGUUGGGUUAAGUCCCGCAACGAGCGCAACCCUUAUCCUUGUUUGCC